RNAcentral lists this ribosomal RNA (723 nucleotides) under Triticum aestivum (bread wheat). RNAcentral describes it as "partial small subunit ribosomal RNA". The record is from RNAcentral. Lineage: Eukaryota; Viridiplantae; Streptophyta; Magnoliopsida; Poales; Poaceae.
AUGGCUGACGCUCAUGUGCCGCCUGAAGUUAAUGUGGUGCCCGAAGUGAUUGCACCUGAAGUCAAUGCUGCACCUGAUGCAAAUCUACAGCCUGAAGUCACCACCACAACCACUGCCACUGCUCCUGUACCGCCUCCAAGGCCACACACCAUCGAGCAAGCAUUUGAUCGUGGUCAGUUGGUCACCGUUAGAUGGCCCAUUCUGGUUCCUCCACCUGCUGCUGGUCCGCAAUUUGACUAUCAUAUCGAGCACAGGCCUCAGGUCCAGAAGCCGAAGCCAAGGUUGCCCAGGUUUCCAGGAACAACAACUUCACCAGGGUCAUUCAAUGCAAAUGGCUUCAUUGCGCACUACACUUUCUUUGAUAGCACCAAGAACCCCUACACCAAGCCAAGAAUUUCAUCAGAUCGGUUCUGGAGCUAUCAACAGCGCAGCUACUAUUCAUGUGUUCUCUAUGAGCAAGGGCGCAUCUUCCCACACAUGCGUCUAGAUUGUGAAGCCAUUGCUAGACUGCCCUGCCUUGAAGAAGCCCUAGACUGCUUCCGUGAUGCUGGUCUGCUGAACUUUGUGACUGAGAAGGAGCAUUGGAAUGAAGAGCUUCUGCUACAAUUUUAUGCUACCCUCCACAUUCGCGGCUACAACAGGGAUCCGAAGACUUGGGUCCUUGAGUGGAUGACAGGCAAAACGUCCAUCAUGAAGCCAAAGCUCUUGAUAUCAUUGAGCUAA